Girardinichthys multiradiatus is the source of this 2583-nucleotide long non-coding RNA. RefSeq lists it as uncharacterized. The transcript is spliced from 4 exons. The record is from RefSeq and is a predicted model, not a curated record. Lineage: Eukaryota; Metazoa; Chordata; Actinopteri; Cyprinodontiformes; Goodeidae.
GAAGCCCUGCCAGUGACACCAUGCAUCAUUGUUUGUGGCUCCUCCUGCUACACAUCAAGACUUUUCAUGCUGAGUGUUGACCACAAAGUUGUGAAUGACCAUAUAACAGACUUCAUCUCUGCAAUCUGUCUGAUGCUUGGAAGCUACUACUGCCUUAACAUCCACUAUCCAGUGAAACUUGGCUCCACACUUGAGUUCCUUCAGAGAUAAUUUAUUUUAGUUUUUAUACUUCUACACUUAUUACCUUAUUGUUUGUGUAAUUAUUGAUUCUCGUGUUUUAUCAAGGUGUUUUUUCAACAUUAACCCAGAGAAGGGAACAAAAGUUGAAAAAACUGAAAAGAAGACAUCGCAUGUCAACCCAAGAGUGCUCACCCUCAUUGCAGAACGGUCUGAUCAUGAGUGGCGAGAGACCAUUUAAAGACAUGUUGAACUGAUGGGUUCAGUCAGACUGGGAACUAUAUUCUGUAUUAUUUGUAUUCUUUCAUGUUAUCUGUUAUCCCAACUGAUGAGAACUAUUUCAUGUUUUUUGUUGUUACAUGAAUGUUUUUCAGAGGUUUUGCUUUCUGUUCUUUGAAACAAUGGAUUCAAAUAACAGAAAUUUAGAGACAUUUGUUGUUUAAAGCAGUUUAUACUUUAUCUGACCUAUUGCUAUUGAUAACUUUAUUCUUGCUGUUUUCAUUGCGGUCAUAUUUUUUACACUAAAGUGUUUAAACUGUUUAAAUUUUAUUUUGUCUUCACAAUGUAUGGGCUGAAAUCUGUUCCACUAGAAACUGAAUGUAAUCAUUACAUCGAGAUUGAAAAUCAUGAUCUGAAAUUCAAUAUUAGGUUUUGAAAUAAAAUCUGUAUUGUGUGAACUGAAAUUGAAUUUAGUAUUUUUGACUUGAAGGAAUAUAGAGAGUAGAAUUUUUCAAGGUGGUUAAAUCCAAUUUCAAAGCAAAAAAUUCAAUUUCAGAUCACACUUUUCAAAUUAAAUAUAAUAAUUCUCAUUUAGUUUCUAGUGGCACAAAUCUCAGCCCAUAAUAAUGAGUGUUGUAUUCCUGUCCCUUCAGGCGUUGCAUUGAAAAUGCUCUGUACAUUUAAGUGACUAAAGUCGGGAGACACGAUAAGGUGGUUUUACUGAAUUAAAUUAAGGCUAAGGUUUUAAGAGGACGGUAUACCCGUUAAUAUUAUCUGUAAAUUUGUUAUUGGUAAACUUGUUGUGAAGUGUUUUCAAAUAGCACCAGCAUUUUGUAGCAGUAAGGUUCUACAAAGUGUACUUGCUUAUUGUGCAUAUUGGCUUGAUCACUUAAGUGAGGUCAUAACUUUGCCAUUUUAUUGUUUUGUCAUUUAUAUUUUGAGGCAUUUAUUUAUUUUCUUUUUUUUUUUUUUUUUGAAAAUGCGAUUUUCUCUUUUACAAUAAUUGAAUCAAUAUGUAGAGCUUUAACAGUUUUGGAUUUCUUUUAUAUAAUGCUAGGAGAAGCUUUAAAAUGUUUUGCUUUUAUUCCUUUGAAACCGUUUACUUGAGUACCAGGGAAAGGUCAAAUACAUUCGAGACAAUAAAACUGUCAGUGAAGGACAUUUGAAAUUGUUUUUUCAGUGGUUUUCUGACACAUUGACAUAAAAGUAGGUUUAAGGACGGUGACACAGCUAAGACCUGAAAGUCUCUUCGAGGUUAGUAAAGUAAGCACAGAUCUUUGAUAUUUUAAAUAUUUAUCGGCUGUCUAAAUCUUAUUUGAUCUUUUCUUAUGAACAGAAAGUUAAGUCUUAUUCCUGCCCUUUUCAAGCCCUGAAUUUGAACUGCAACCUCAAGGAACCAAUUUCAAAAAAAUGUCUUCUCCCUCUCUGUGCAAUUUAGGUCUGCUUUUGUGAACAGCAUCAGAAGAGAAUGACAGGCAAACCAGUGUCAAGAAUAUGAUCAAUGAAAAUGUGCUGAAGACAGAAUCAAACCUUGGCUGGAAAGUUUUGAAUGGAUCUUGCCAAUUCAGAGGGAAACCUUUAUUGUCAACCUGAGUCUUCAUGGAGAGAUGAUGGCAUUUUUCAGGUUUCCCUAAACGUCCCACUAUUUCUGUAUGAGACUCGCCUGUCUUCCGUCAUGUAUGCACCUAGAGAUUCAAUAAGAGAGAGGAUUCUAUCAGUCCAAAGUGACCAUCCGAUGGACAGCAUUUGAGUCCUUCAGCGGAGCUUGUAUCUUCGAUAACUGCAUUUAAAACUCCACUGUUUUGAGUGCUUUCUUCUACCAAAGCUAGACUCAGUGACUCAUUACCCUUGAUCAUUUAGGGGCAAGUAACUAUUUGUUUCAUGUUUGUUUAUUCCACUAUUACAGUCAUGGAUGCUGUAUUGUCAAGAUUUGUGCUGCUUUUUGAGCAUAUAGACAAUUAAUAUGAUCCUUUUAGUCUUUUCAUAGAUUGUAUGUAAAAUGUUCUUAUCAGUGAUAAUUAGUACCAUGGUUAAAUAUGGGCAGAUUUGCUAAAGUAAAAUGUAUGCCAAACCACUUAUGUUCUACAUGUAUUGUUCUGUAUUUUUUGCAUUAAAAUAAUGGCAGCUGUGGUUGCCAGGAAUUUACCGUGAAAUUUAAUUGGUCAAAAUAAAUGUUGUAAUUUGUUA